CCUACGGGGGGCAGCAGUGGGGAAUAUUGGACAAUGGGCGAAAGCCUGAUCCAGCCAUGCCGCGUGUGUGAAGAAGGCCUUCGGGUUGUAAAGCACUUUCAGUGGGGAAGAAAGCCUUGGGGCUAAUACCCUCGAGGAAGGACAUCACCCACAGAAGAAGCACCGGCUAACUCCGUGCCAGCAGCCGCGGUAAUACGGAGGGGUGCGAGCGUUAAUCGGAAUUACUGGGCGUAAAGCGCGCGUAGGCGGUCUGAUAAGCCGGUUGUGAAAGCCCCGGGCUCAACCUGGGAACGGCAUCCGGAACUGUCAGGCUAGAGUGCAGGAGAGGAAGGUAGAAUUCCCGGUGUAGCGGUGAAAUGCGUAGAGAUCGGGAGGAAUACCAGUGGCGAAGGCGGCCUUCUGGACUGACACUGACGCUGAGGUGCGAAAGCGGGGGUAGCAAACAGGAUUAGAUACCCCAGUAGUC
This 466-nucleotide ribosomal RNA is filed under the name Vreelandella stevensii. RNAcentral describes it as "partial 16S ribosomal RNA". It matches the Rfam family "Bacterial small subunit ribosomal RNA", at positions 338 to 795 of the family's 1533-position model. Lineage: Bacteria; Pseudomonadati; Pseudomonadota; Gammaproteobacteria; Oceanospirillales; Halomonadaceae. The record is from RNAcentral.